UGCAGUCGAGCGACUGAUUAGAAGCUUGCUUCUAAGACGUUAGCGGCGGACGGGUGAGUAACACGUGGGCAACCUGCCUGUAAGACUGGGAUAACUUCGGGAAACCGAAGCUAAUACCGGAUAGGAUCUUCUCCUUCAUGGGAGAUGAUUGAAAGAUGGUUUCGGCUAUCACUUACAGAUGGGCCCGCGGUGCAUUAGCUAGUUGGUGAGGUAACGGCUCACCAAGGCAACGAUGCAUAGCCGACCUGAGAGGGUGAUCGGCCACACUGGGACUGAGACACGGCCCAGACUCCUACGGGAGGCAGCAGUAGGGAAUCUUCCGCAAUGGACGAAAGUCUGACGGAGCAACGCCGCGUGAGUGAUGAAGGCUUUCGGGUCGUAAAACUCUGUUGUUAGGGAAGAACAAGUACGAGAGUAACUGCUCGUACCUUGACGGUACCUAACCAGAAAGCCACGGCUAACUACGUGCCAGCAGCCGCGGUAAUACGUAGGUGGCAAGCGUUAUCCGGAAUUAUUGGGCGUAAAGCGC
Molecule: ribosomal RNA, 529 nt
Filed under: uncultured bacterium
Lineage: Bacteria
Description: bacterial SSU rRNA
Rfam family: Bacterial small subunit ribosomal RNA
Source: RNAcentral